This 497-nucleotide ribosomal RNA is filed under the name uncultured bacterium. RNAcentral describes it as "partial 16S ribosomal RNA". It matches the Rfam family "Bacterial small subunit ribosomal RNA", at positions 28 to 507 of the family's 1533-position model. The record is from RNAcentral.
GAUGAACGCUGGCGGCGUGCCUAAUACAUGCAAGUCGAGCGAACGGACGAGAGGCUUGCUUCUCUGAUGUUAGCGGCGGACGGAUGAGUAACACGUGGAUAACCUACCUAUAAGACUGGGAUAACUUCGGGAAACCGGAGCUAAUACCGGAUAAUAUUUUGAACCGCAUGGUUCAAAAGUGAAAGACGGUCUUGCUGUCACUUAUAGAUGGAUCCGCGCUGCAUUAGCUAGUUGGUAAGGUAACGGCUUACCAAGGCAACGAUGCAUAGCCGACCUGAGAGGGUGAUCGGCCACACUGGAACUGAGACACGGUCCAGACUCCUACGGGAGGCAGCAGUAGGGAAUCUUCCGCAAUGGGCGAAAGCCUGACGGAGCAACGCCGCGUGAGUGAUGAAGGUCUUCGGAUCGUAAAACUCUGUUAUUAGGGAAGAACAUAUGUGUAAGUAACUGUGCACAUCUUGACGGUACCUAAUCAGAAAGCCACGGCUAACUACGUG